GUGGCGUUUGUACGCUUAGGUAGUACGAGAGGACCGGAGUGGACGCAUCACUGGUGUUCGGGUUGUCAUGCCAAUGGCACUGCCCGGUAGCUAAAUGCGGAAGAGAUAAGUGCUGAAAGCAUCUAAGCACGAAACUUGCCCCGAGAU
This 147-nucleotide ribosomal RNA is filed under the name Salmonella enterica subsp. enterica serovar Anatum. RNAcentral's name for it is "partial 23S ribosomal RNA". It matches the Rfam family "Bacterial large subunit ribosomal RNA", at positions 2664 to 2805 of the family's 2925-position model. Lineage: Bacteria; Pseudomonadati; Pseudomonadota; Gammaproteobacteria; Enterobacterales; Enterobacteriaceae. The record is from RNAcentral.